RNAcentral lists this ribosomal RNA (497 nucleotides) under uncultured bacterium. RNAcentral's name for it is "partial 16S ribosomal RNA". It matches the Rfam family "Bacterial small subunit ribosomal RNA", at positions 28 to 507 of the family's 1533-position model. The record is from RNAcentral.
GAUGAACGCUGGCGGCGUGCCUAAUACAUGCAAGUCGAGCGAACGGACGAGAAGCUUGCUUCUCUGAUGUUAGCGGCGGACGGGUGAGUAACACGUGGAUAACCUACCUAUAAGACUGGGAUAACUUCGGGAAACCGAAGCUAAUACCGGAUGAUAUUUUGAACCGCAUGGUUCAAAAGCGAAAGACGGUCUUGCUGUCACUUAUAGAUGGAUCCGCGCUGCAUUAGCUAGUUGGUAAGGUAACGGCUUACCAAGGCAACGAUGCAUAGCCGACCUGAGAGGGUGAUCGGCCACACUGGAACUGAGACACGGUCCAGACUCCUACGGGAGGCAGCAGUAGGGAAUCUUCCGCAAUGGGCGAAAGCCUGACGGAGCAACGCCGCGUGAGUGAUGAAGGUCUUCGGAUCGUAAAACUCUGUUAUUAGGGAAGAACAUAUGUGUAAGUAACUGUGCACAUCUUGACGGUACCUAAUCAGAAAGCCACGGCUAACUACGUG